RNAcentral lists this ribosomal RNA (532 nucleotides) under uncultured bacterium. Its description in RNAcentral is "bacterial SSU rRNA". It matches the Rfam family "Bacterial small subunit ribosomal RNA", at positions 97 to 610 of the family's 1533-position model. The record is from RNAcentral.
GGCGCAAGGGUGCGUAACACGUGGGUAUUUGCCGUGAAGUUUGGGAUAACUUGCUGAAAGGCGAGCUAAUACCGGAUGUGAAUUCUUGAAGGCAUCUUCGAAAAUUCAAAGUUGGGGACCGCAAGGCCUGACGCUUUACGAUAAGCCCGCGGCCUAUCAGCUAGUUGGUGAGGUAACGGCUCACCAAGGCUAAGACGGGUAGCUGGUCUGAGAGGACGACCAGCCUCACUGGAACUGAGACACGGUCCAGACACCUACGGGUGGCAGCAGUCGAGAAUUUUUCUCAAUGGGCGAAAGCCUGAAGGAGCGACGCCGCGUGGGGGAUGAAUGGCUUCGGCCCGUAAACCCCUGUCAUUUGUGAACAAAUUGCUUCACCUAAUACGUGAUGCAUUGAUUGUAACGGAAGAGGAAGGGACGGCUAACUCUGUGCCAGCAGCCGCGGUAAUACAGAGGUCCCAAGCGUUGUUCGGAUUCACUGGGCGUAAAGGGUGCGUAGGCGGUUUGAUAAGUCUGAUGUGAAAUCCCGCAGGCU